This 69-nucleotide transfer RNA is filed under the name Ixodes scapularis (black-legged tick). It matches the Rfam family "tRNA". From Rfam's summary of the family: Transfer RNA (tRNA) molecules are approximately 80 nucleotides in length. Their secondary structure includes four short double-helical elements and three loops (D, anti-codon, and T loops). Lineage: Eukaryota; Metazoa; Arthropoda; Arachnida; Ixodida; Ixodidae. The record is from Rfam by way of RNAcentral.
GGCUAGCACAGUUCGUAGAGCGCUUCACUGAAAAUGGAGAGGUCCCUGGUUCGAUACCAGAACCAGCCG